CCCGCCGGCGACCGGCGCACGGGUGAGUAACACGUAUGCAACCUGCCCUCUUCAGGGGGACAACCUUCCGAAAGGGAGGCUAAUCCCGCGUAUAUCGGUUUCGGGCAUCCGAGAUCGAGGAAAGAUUCAUCGGAAGAGGAUGGGCAUGCGGCGCAUUAGCUAGACGGCGGGGUAACGGCCCACCGUGGCGACGAUGCGUAGGGGUUCUGAGAGGAAGGUCCCCCACACUGGUACUGAGACACGGACCAGACUCCUACGGGAGGCAGCAG
RNAcentral lists this ribosomal RNA (269 nucleotides) under uncultured bacterium. Its description in RNAcentral is "partial 16S ribosomal RNA". It matches the Rfam family "Bacterial small subunit ribosomal RNA", at positions 84 to 354 of the family's 1533-position model. The record is from RNAcentral.